Molecule: ribosomal RNA, 253 nt
Filed under: uncultured bacterium
Lineage: Bacteria
Description: partial 16S ribosomal RNA
Rfam family: Bacterial small subunit ribosomal RNA
Source: RNAcentral
UACGUAGGGGGCAAGCGUUGUCCGGAUUUAUUGGGCGUAAAGAGCGUGUAGGCGGCUUUACAGGUCCGCUGUGAAAGUCGGGGGCUCAACCCUCGAAUGCCGGUGGAUACUGUCGGGCUAGAGUGCGGAAGAGGCGAGUGGAAUUCCUGGUGUAGCGGUGAAAUGCACAGAUAUCAGGAGGAACACCGAUUGCGAAGGCAGCUCGCUGGGACGUCACUGACGCUGAGACGCGAAAGCGUGGGGAGCAAACAGG